CGAGUGGCGAACGGGUGAGUAACACGUGGAGACCUGCCCUUGGGUACGGGAUAACAGUUAGAAAUGACUGCUAAUACCGUAUACGUCCUAUGGGAGAAAGAUUUAUUGCCCUUGGAGGGGUCCGCGUCGGAUUAGCUAGUUGGUAAGGUAACGGCUUACCAAGGCGACGAUCCGUAGCUGUUCUUAGAGGAAGAUCAGCCACACUGGGACUGAGACACGGCCCAGACUCC
RNAcentral lists this ribosomal RNA (230 nucleotides) under uncultured bacterium. RNAcentral describes it as "partial 16S ribosomal RNA". It matches the Rfam family "Bacterial small subunit ribosomal RNA", at positions 92 to 339 of the family's 1533-position model. The record is from RNAcentral.